Molecule: ribosomal RNA, 253 nt
Filed under: uncultured bacterium
Lineage: Bacteria
Description: partial 16S ribosomal RNA
Rfam family: Bacterial small subunit ribosomal RNA
Source: RNAcentral
UACGUAGGGUGCAAGCGUUGUUCGGAAUCAUUGGGCGUAAAGCGCGUGUAGGUGGUUAUGUAAGUCGGGUGUGAAAUCCCUGGGCUCAACCGAGGAAGUGCAUCCGAAACUACAUAGCUAGAGGACGGUAGAGGAAGGUGGAAUUCCUAGUGUAGAGGUGAAAUUCGUAGAUAUUAGGAGGAAUACCGGUGGCGAAGGCGGCCUUCUGGGCCGUUCCUGACACUGAGACGCGAAAGCGUGGGGAGCAAACAGG